Molecule: ribosomal RNA, 500 nt
Filed under: uncultured bacterium
Lineage: Bacteria
Description: bacterial SSU rRNA
Rfam family: Bacterial small subunit ribosomal RNA
Source: RNAcentral
AUUGAACGCUGGCGGCAUGCUUUACACAUGCAAGUCGAACGGCAGCACGGGCUUCGGCCUGGUGGCGAGUGGCGAACGGGUGAGUAACACGUAUCCAACCUGCCGUUUACUCUUGGAUAGCCUUCUGAAAAGGAGAUUAAUACAAGAUAGUAUCAUGAGAUCACAUGUUCACAUGAUUAAAGAAUUUCGGUAAACGAUGGGGAUGCGUUCCAUUAGAUAGUAGGCGGGGUAACGGCCCACCUAGUCUACGAUGGAUAGGGGUUCUGAGAGGAAGGUCCCCCACACUGGUACUGAGACACGGACCAGACUCCUACGGGAGGCAGCAGUGAGGAAUAUUGGUCAAUGGACGCAAGUCUGAACCAGCCAAGUAGCGUGAAGGAUGAAGGUUCUAUGGAUUGUAAACUUCUUUUAUAUGGGAAUAAAACCACUUACGUGUAGGUGUCUGUAUGUACCAUAUGAAUAAGGACCGGCUAACUCCGUGCCAGCCGCCGCCGUAACAC